AUACACUAACGCGUUUCAGCUUUGUUUAGGCUUUAUCAAAGUGUUACAGAGUAUGGUGACCUUCACUGUUUAAAUGUCAGAUGCUAAUUCUGAAAAUAACAGUCACAUGAUCCUUCCCGGAACAUGAAAUGUUGCAAACACCAGGUCAAAGUCAGGGGUAAGGGCCACUUUAUCUGGUAGUGUAGGAGGAGGGCACUCUACCCAAAUCUUCACCCUGACCUCCUUAUCC
Pelobates cultripes (western spadefoot toad) is the source of this 229-nucleotide non-coding RNA. The record is from the annotation of a GenBank genome assembly. NCBI's taxonomy places the organism in Eukaryota, Metazoa, Chordata, Amphibia, Anura, Pelobatidae.